CCCAGGUCAGGCGGGACUACCCGCUGAGUUUAAGCAUAUCAAUAAGCGGAGGAAAAGAAACUAACAAGGAUUCCCCUAGUAACGGCGAGU
Molecule: ribosomal RNA, 90 nt
Filed under: Oldenlandia corymbosa
Lineage: Eukaryota; Viridiplantae; Streptophyta; Magnoliopsida; Gentianales; Rubiaceae
Also listed under: 1 other name
Description: partial 26S ribosomal RNA
Rfam family: Eukaryotic large subunit ribosomal RNA
Source: RNAcentral